CACUAAGCCAGUGGUGAACUCCACAUACGCAUCCUUUGCUGAAGGCAAUGGUUAACGGAGCGAAAGCGACGUUCAACCGCAAAACAAGCAGAGGGGGCUUAGUGGUGGGGUGACUGCGUACCUUUUGUAUAAUGGGUCAGCGACUUAUAUUCUGUAGCAAGGUUAACCGUAUAGGGGAGCCGGAGGGAAACCGAGUCUUAAUUGGGCGUUAAGUUGCAGGGUAUAGACCCGAAACCCGGUGAUCUAGCCAUGGGCAGGUUGAAGGUUGGGUAACACUAACUGGAGGACCGAACCGACUAAUGUUGAAAAAUUAGCGGAUGACCUGUGGCUGGGGGUGAAAGGCCAAUCAAACCGGGAGAUAGCUGGUUCUCCCCGAAAGCUAUUUAGGUAGCGCCUCGUGAAUUCAUCUCCGGGGGUAGAGCACUGUUUCGGCUAGGGGGCCAUCCCGGCUUACCAACCCGAUGCAAACUGCGAAUACCGGAGAAUGUUAUCACGGGAGACACACGGCGGGUGCUAACGUCCGUCGUGAAGAGGGAAACAACCCAGACCGCCAGCUAAGGUCCCAAAGUCAUGGUUAAGUGGGAAACGAUGUGGGAAGGCCCAGACAGCCAGGAUGUUGGCUUAGAAGCAGCCAUCAUUUAAAGAAAGCGUAAUAGCUCACUGGUCGAGUCGGCCUGCGCGGAAGAUGUAACGGGGCUAAACCAUGCACCGAAGCUGCGGCAGCGAACGUAUCACUUAAAGCGAUUCAGCGGGUUACGAUUGACGGAGCGAAGCGACGUCAAAGCGUAUACAAAGUCGAGUCGGUUUAAGGAUACGUUCGUUGGGUAGGGGAGCGUUCUGUAAGCCUGCGAAGGUGGCCUGUGAGGGUUGCUGGAGGUAUCAGAAGUGCGAAUGCUGACAUAAGUAACGAUAAAGCGGGUGAAAAGCCCGCUCGCCGGAAGACCAAGGGUUCCUGUCCAACGUUAAUCGGGGCAGGGUGAGUCGACCCCUAAGGCGAGGCCGAAAGGCGUAGUCGAUGGGAAACGGGUUAAUAUUCCCGUACUUGGUGUUACUGCGAAGGGGGGACGGAGAAGGCUAUGUUGGCCGGGCGACGGUUGUCCCGGUUUAAGCGUGUAGGCUGGUUUUCCAGGCAAAUCCGGAAAAUCAAGGCUGAGGCGUGACGACGAGGCACUACGGUGCUGAAGCAACAAAUGCCCUGCUUCCAGGAAAAGCCUCUAAGCAUCAGGUAACACGAAAUCGUACCCCAAACCGACACAGGUGGUCAGGUAGAGAAUACCAAGGCGCUUGAGAGAACUCGGGUGAAGGAACUAGGCAAAAUGGUGCCGUAACUUCGGGAGAAGGCACGCUGACACGUAGGUGAA
RNAcentral lists this ribosomal RNA (1361 nucleotides) under Salmonella enterica. RNAcentral describes it as "partial 23S ribosomal RNA". It matches the Rfam family "Bacterial large subunit ribosomal RNA", at positions 566 to 1766 of the family's 2925-position model. The record is from RNAcentral. Lineage: Bacteria; Pseudomonadati; Pseudomonadota; Gammaproteobacteria; Enterobacterales; Enterobacteriaceae.